GACAGCCCAUGAGGCCAAUCUACAUCAUUUUAUUUUAAAUGCAAUACAAAAAAACUCAUCCGUUUGAGUAUUAUUUUUGUUUUCACACACCAAAGGCAGUGUUAUAUAGUUGUGACAGAGUAUAAGCCAGCAUAGUAUCAAAUAUUUAUUAUCCAGUCCUUUAUAGAAAAAGGUUUACUGAACUCUGACUUUUGUCAUCAUUCCACAUCCUACAGAGCCAGUGCCCUGAAAGAAUGAUAUUCAUGAAUAAGGUCAGCAGGUGCCCUUUUCAGUUCCUGACUGACAGCUGAAUUGAGCUGGGAAAAUAGUGCCCCCUCAUUUACCCUUGUUUUAGCCCCGGGAGAACCUUUGGUCCCCUGGACACUGGGAGCAUUUCUUCCUAAGAGUCUCUCUGAGCUAACUUCAUUGAACAUCCAAACUGGGAGGCAGAGGCAUUAGAAAACCUGCUUUUCAACAUCCUUAUCCAAGGAAUGAGAAAUCAGAGACCCACAGAAAGGAAGCAACUCCUCCCAAGUUAGGCAGCAGUUGGCAGUUAGCAUAGAAACCAGGAAUCCUGAUGUCUUGUGGUUAUGUGAAACUGGAACUGAAUUGGACUGAAUUCUAUUUUCUCACUUGUGGACUGCAGGUGUGAAUUUUUAUCCAGCUGUGUUGUGCUGCAUAGGAAGAGGACAUGGAGAGGUUAAAUGAAUCCUGAGUAGCUCAGUUGGUUAGAGUAUGGUGCUAAUAAAUGAAUCAUAAGGCAGCAUCCAGAAAAUUCUCUUGGAUCUGGGCUUUUGAGUCUAAAUAUACACACUAAGCAGCAUCCCCUUGUUUUGCUAAGAAAAAUUACAAACAGAAGGAUAGACUGAACUGUUCUACUUGGUCUGUUUGGACUUUGCUUCUCUCUUCUUCUAUUUCACUCUUGGCUAAAUACAGUGUUGAUGUUCCCGUCUGACCUGAUGGCACGGUGGUCUGAGAUCAGCCCUAGACUGGGACAGCUGCUCAAAUGCAUGCGUGAACUCACAGAGUGAAGGAGUUCUUGGAGGGUGAGGCUAGGUUACUGUUCUGGUUUCUGAGUUUCUUUGUGUUGUCUCUGGGUGAAGGUCAUAGUUCUAGCAUUUAUUAAGUCAUCAGUUAUGUGGAGGUCAUGUGAUUCUAUAAGUGAGAAAAACCAAGAAUCUUGUAUUUAGGGCACGUAGGCCUAUCCACUGGGUUCACGGUAUUUUUUGGCCCAGUGCACCUGCAUAAAGCAUUUUGCCCCAACAGAUAAUUAAGCUUGACAAGACUCUCAAUGGAAAGCCAGGACCAGAACCACAAAAGGCCCAGCAGGCAGGCAGGGGACUGCCUGGCAUUUCAGCCCCAUGUCAGCUGCAGCUCCAUGCCUCACAAUGGUGAAUCAGUGGAAUACGGUGUUACUGCAGGGCAUGGCUAUGUGUGUCAGAAGAGUCAUUCAUUGACAGCAGCGGCCUCAUACAUCUUGUGUUUUCCUUGUCUCCUGGUUGCAUCCAGAAGCCAUGUGGAGUGAUAAACUUACACCUUCUAGGAUUAUGAAAUUGUUUAAACUACAGUCAUUUUCUUGAAAAGGCUUUCCUUUGGGGACAUCCACUGGCUACUGACAGAAGGAUUAAAUGAGAUUGUUGGUGAGAAAGACUCAAGUUCAAUGUUUGAUACAUAGUAUGCUCAAAGCAAAUGGUAGCUGAAUCUGAAUCACUGUCAAUCAACAAACUGAUUUUCUAGUUUACAAAUCAGUGUUUGGUAAACCUGAACAACACACUUGUGAGUCAAUUGGCAAAGUUCUGAAAUUUAAAAAAAAAAAAUGAGAUCUUGGCCCACAAGGAUCAAAUCUUGCAAAGCCUGCCCAAACAUGGUAAUGCAGGAAAUCAUGACAAGGACCUACCUAAUGUGGCUCUGCACAAUGUCCUUCACCUUGAAGAAAGAUCUCUGAAAGAGUCUUUCAUGUUAUUGGGAAAGUAAGUCAUUUUAUUUAUAUCUACUUCUGUCUGAUUAUAAAAAGUGAAAUUGAAACCAUGGGCUCUAAGUGAGGCAACUUGGAGCAAUGGAAGUUGGGUCAGGGAAUGAAUGAAGCAAUAAAAUCCCAAAGAUUCAAAAGAUUUAGGAGGGAAAAUUGCCCAAUCUAUUCCUCAGGCUUCUGCCACUAUUAAUUAAAUAGGCAAAUUACACUAGUAGGUAGUUUAUGCUUGGAUUAUUCCGUGUAUUUAAGUCUUUAAAUAUUUCUGUGUUGUCAUACUUCCACUUUUUAAUAAUUGUGAAAUAUUUAGAAGCUUGACAACUCUUCCACAAAUUUAUAUAUUUGUCUGUCUUGUUUGAAAAUCAUGAGAUAAUUCAGCAAAAGAAAUCAAAGAGAUAUAAAUUGAGAAGGAAGAAGUCAAACUAUCCCUAUUUGCAGAUGAUAUGAUUCUUUAUUGAGGAGAUCCAAAGAACUCCACUAAGAUUAUUGGAACUCAUGGAAGUUUGUAAAGUAGCAAGACAUAAAAUCAGUGCACAAAAAUCAACAGCCUUUGUAUACACAGGCAAUGCCACGGCUGGGAAAGAACUUCUAAGAGCAAUCCCACUCACAAUAGAUACAAUAGCAAUCAAAUACCUUAACCAAAGAUGUCAAAGAUCUCUACAAUGAGAAUUACAAAAUUUUGAAGAAAGAAAUAGAAGAUACAAAAACAUGGAAAAAUCUGCCAUGUUCAUGGAUUGGAAGAAUCAAUAUCAUCAAAAUGUCCAUUCUUCCAGAAGCAAUUUACAGAUUCAAUGUGAUACCAAACAAAAUACCAAAGACAUUAUUCUUAGAUCUGGAAAAAAUGAUGCUGAAAUUCAUAUGGAAGCACAGGAAACCUCAAAUAGCUAAAGCAAUCUUGUACAACAAAAACAGAGCUGGAGGCAUCACAAUACCAGAUUUCAGGACAUACUACAGGGCAGUUAUAAUCAAAACAGCCUGGUACUGGUACAAAAACAGGUGGAUAGACCAAUAGUACAGAAUAGAAACACCAGAAAUCAAUUUAAACAUCUACAGCUCACCUGUUUCUACUUUGUCUCAUCCCGUCUUUCCACCAUGGAAAUGAAAACUCGUAUUCCUUAUCCAAAGCAAUGCUAUAAUAACUCAGUACUAACAUGGUGAUGGAUUGUCAUGAAGAUUUUAGAAUAAUGGAAUUUCUGCCCAUAUCCAGAAACAACUAAUAUUUUAAAGUAUCAGUUAUCCAGUUAUAGAAGUUUCUUGCCUCUCCUCUUAUUAAUCAGCUCUCAGAGAGUUCUACUUUCCCCCUCUCUUCCUUGAAUUCUAGGGCUCUAGUUUCUUAUUUCCACCUUGCCACACCAGAAUGGAAAAAUAUGUAUCUAUGUACCUGUAUAUCUAUCUAUCUAUCUAUCUAUCUAUCUAUCUAUCUAGAGAAUCUAUUUAUCUGUUUCUAUUAUCUGUAUCUAUGUGUUCAUCUUUCUGUGUCUAUUUCUGUAGCAGGGCAUUAAAUAUGGCUUUUCUCAUCAUCAGAGAGUUCUAGGAGAGUAUCCAACAUUGAUAGCAGUAGUAGCUGUCAUAUCGUCUGAGCUGAGAGUGCUAAGAUUAUGGAUGACUACAGGAGAGUGUGGAAGAGCAGAGUAGAAAAUGUUUAAUUCUGACGUCAUGAGUACUGUGAAAUGCUUUCGGAAAGCACUUGUAAAGCUUGGCACCUGCUCACUGAUACUUAGGAACCUCAUCUAUACCUAAACACGCUAAAGGAAAGUGGGAGCAGUUGUGGUAGGAGAUCCAAGACACAAGGUCAUAUUCAAAAUUGCCUGCUCUUCCAGACAUGUACCAAAUGUAAACUGAUGAAGGAGCUGAACUUGGGCCAUCUUGAAAGAUUCUGUUCCAAGGGAUCUUCUGAGAUGGCAUGCACAUUCCCUGAGGAAGUUGUGAGGGGUGGGUCCCUGGAUUUUGAGAUUGAGGGGAGUGUCCACAGUGAUGAGAGAGGAUCAGGGGGCAGAAUCUUCUCUGAAAAGGGGGCAGAAGGUGAGAGAUCAACAUUAGCAGGUGUUUCUGAAGACCUCAGCACACAUACUCUAUGGAGAGGGGAGAGAGAAGUGGAAGAGAGGGCUCUCUCAAUGGCCACCAACGUCAGGGGCAACCAAAUCAGUCCACACUUGACUGCCUCAUCUCUCUUCUCUACCAUCCUCUUAAGUUCUGGCAAAACCAGAUGCAGCUUAGGGAGAAGAAUAGGGAGAUAGCAAGAGUGAAGUUCAAAGGCUGAUCAUCCCUACUGCAGAUCUCCAAAACAAAGCCAGACCUUGGGUGGCAGAGAAUAAGGUUUAACUUAUACAAGAGAAUAAGGCUUUGCUAUCAAAGUGUCUGGACUGAAUUGGGCAUGCAGUACCAAAAGAGACUGUUCAUGUGAGGGUGCUGGGUAAAGCUAAUUCAUGCCUUUGGGAUCUCAUCCAGAAGCAAGAAUAUGAUUGACAACGUUGCUGGAGGGCAUUGGCACAGAAUAACAAAACAAAGCUAAUUUAUAUUUUCAUCCCUUUUGAGUACAUUCAAUAAAGCAGUUCCUGUCUCUUUAUUCUCUCCAUAAAAUGUGCAUGUGUGUGCGCGCGCACACACACACACACACACGCGGGGUCCUGUUAGAUUUGUUGUAAAUAAAUUUCCUUCCUCUCAACUUCUGCCUCCUACUCAGCAUGGAGCUCUCCCUUUCCUUACCCCAUCCAUCCCAUGGACUUGUUUGUUGACUUUGGUUUUGAAAGCGCACAUCCCUCUCCUCUUUAGAAUGUUCCUUGAACUCUGAUGCUCCCUGUAUGCAUGCCACAGUUGACUUCCCCACUAACAAUAUUCAUAAUUCUUUUGUUUCUGUCUGCCACAUGUUUAUCAUACUGUGUAUGUCGACAUGGACACUGGGUUUCCUAAAAUCAUUUCUUCAAGGCCCUCAUUCUAAAUCUUUAUAAAACUUAGAUGGAUUUUCUGAUUCCCGAAGCAGGCUUCAGAAUAUGUCUACUAACCUAGGACACCUUAAAUAAUGAUGAAUUUGUUCUUACCAAAGCCAAAUACAUGUGUUUACAAGUUGGGUCAAAUUCCUUUCUCUUACAACACAUCCCAAACCUCAGUGGCUGGAAGAAACCCUUUAACAUGAAGUCCAACAGAAAUGUGACAUUGUUACUCUUUUUGCCUAAGUCCUUGGAACUCUUGAUAGGAAGCUGCUGUCACUACUUUCAAACAUUAGUGGUCAAUGACUGUCUUUAGUUCAGAUAACUCUGGGCCUGCUAAGAACAGGCUCACCAUGUUUUAUUAAUUUAUCCUGUAUUUCCUAAGAUGGUUAGUUUCCUUCCUGCCCCAUUUCUUCCAGAUAGUCCUCGAUGGUUGUCUCAGGUAACACAGCCUCUGAAUCCCACCCUUCUUUUUAGUGUAUUCUUGUAUGUUAGC
Molecule: non-coding RNA, 5371 nt
Organism: Oryctolagus cuniculus (rabbit)
Lineage: Eukaryota; Metazoa; Chordata; Mammalia; Lagomorpha; Leporidae
Source: RefSeq, a predicted model, not a curated record